CCCUUAGACACUCUAGGCGGCACGCGCGCUACAAUGGGUGGAAGAACGUGUUACUGCCUCCGAAAGGAGGGGUGAAUCACGAAUUCUUGCCCGUGAAUGGGAUAGUUUGUUGCAAUUUUCGGACUUGAACUAGGAAUCCCUUGUAAACAUGCUCAAGAAUAGCGUGUUGAAUACGCCCCUGCCGUUUGUACACACCGCCCGUCGCUACUACCGAUUGGAUGGAUUAGUGAGACCCUCGGACUGGAACCUAGAGGCGGUGGUUCAUCCACCAAAUCUUGGAGCCGGGAAGAAGGUCAAACUUGUCUAUCUAGAGGAAGUAAAAGUCGUAACA
This 331-nucleotide ribosomal RNA is filed under the name uncultured eukaryote. RNAcentral describes it as "partial 18S ribosomal RNA". It matches the Rfam family "Eukaryotic small subunit ribosomal RNA", at positions 1470 to 1796 of the family's 1831-position model. The record is from RNAcentral.